AACGUAGGAGACAAACGUUAUCCGGAGUUACUGGGCGUAAAGGGCGUGCAGGUGGCUGUUUAAGUUCGGCGUGAAAGCCUCCGGCUAAACCGGGGGAGGUCGUCGGAAACUGGACAGCUCGAGGGUGAUAGAGGCGGGUGGAAUUCCGGGUGUAGUGGUGAAAUGCGUAGAGAUCCGGAGGAACACCAGUGGCGAAGGCGACCCGCUGGGUCACACCUGACACUGAGACGCGACAGCAUGGGGAGCGAACGGGAUUAGAAACCCCCGUAGUCC
This 273-nucleotide ribosomal RNA is filed under the name uncultured bacterium. Its description in RNAcentral is "partial 16S ribosomal RNA". It matches the Rfam family "Bacterial small subunit ribosomal RNA", at positions 524 to 796 of the family's 1533-position model. The record is from RNAcentral.